ACUCCUACGGGAGGCAGCAGUGGGAAUAUUGCACAAUGGACGAAAGUCUGAUGCAGCAACGCCGCGUGGAGGAUGACACAUUUCGGUGCGUAAACUCCUUUUAUAUAGGAAAGAUGAUGACGGUACUAUAUGAAUAAGCNCCGGGCUAAACUCCGUGCCAGCAGCCGCGGUAAUACGGAGGGUGCAAGCGUUACUCGGAAUCACUGGGCGUAAAGAGCGUGUAGGCGGAUAGAUAAGUCAGGAGUGAAAUCCUAUGGCUCAACCAUAGAACUGCUCUUGAAACUGUCAAUCUAGAAUGUGGGAGAGGUAGAUGGAAUUUCUGGUGUAGGGGUAAAGUCCGUAGAGAUCAGAAGGAAUACCGAUUGCGAAGGCGAUCUACUGGAACAUAAUUGACGCUGAGACGCGAAAGCGUGGGAGCAAACAGGAUUAGAUACCCUGGUAGACUGUCAU
Molecule: ribosomal RNA, 450 nt
Filed under: uncultured bacterium
Lineage: Bacteria
Description: bacterial SSU rRNA
Rfam family: Bacterial small subunit ribosomal RNA
Source: RNAcentral